Molecule: ribosomal RNA, 446 nt
Filed under: Actinomyces sp. oral taxon 178
Lineage: Bacteria; Bacillati; Actinomycetota; Actinomycetes; Actinomycetales; Actinomycetaceae
Description: bacterial SSU rRNA
Rfam family: Bacterial small subunit ribosomal RNA
Source: RNAcentral
GACGAACGCUGGCGGCGUGCUUAACACAUGCAAGUCGAACGCGCCUGUCCUCUGGGUUUCUGGGGGGUGGGUGAGUGGCGAACGGGUGAGUAACACGUGAGUAACCUGCCCCCUUCUUCGGGAUAACGGUCUGAAAGGGCUGCUAAUACCGGGUAUUCACUGGUCUCCGCAUGGGGUCUGGUGGAAAGGUUUUUUUCUGGUGGGGGAUGGGCUCGCGGCCUAUCAGCUUGUUGGUGGGGUGAUGGCCCACCAAGGCUUUGACGGGUAGCCGGCCUGAGAGGGUGACCGGUCACAUUGGGACUGAGAUACGGCCCAGACUCCUACGGGAGGCAGCAGUGGGGAAUAUUGCACAAUGGGCGCAAGCCUGAUGCAGCGACGCCGCGUGAGGGAUGGAGGCCUUCGGGUUGUGAACCUCUUUCGCCCGUGGUCAAGCCGCUUUCGUGGGU